GCGGGCCACGUUGGUUAAAUUAACGGAUGCAGGAUACAGACGGCCUGUGGAUAUAGACGGCUGACUGGAUGUACACGUUUAUUAUAUAAUUUUGUUUGUAAAUUAUAUUAUGAUUUAAUUCUAUUUACAACUUUAUAAUUUUUUGUUUUACAAGCCUAUAGAAUUAUAUAUAAUUAUUAUAGUUUAUCCUUAUCUCUGUUUCACGGAGAGGUAAAUGAUGACCAGGGAGUUACAAAGCUUCAUAAGUUUCUCGGAAUGUGUAUCGGAGAAAAAAUAACAGAGUCUGGCUAAAGAGAUGAAGAGCUCAUGAGGGCGUGUCUGCAUUUAAACAAGAGUAGCAUUGUCAAUUGUUGUCCUUACCAGCGGCCGACAAGGCGGAAUUGGAACGGUGCUGCUCCUGACUACCUCUACUCCCCGCUAGGCUUAGGGGCUGGAGUGACCCAAGCCCUCAGGGACCUGCAGCUGCUGAAGUCCUCUCAGCACCUGCAAUAUCCCAGAGGGCAAAGACAGGGCCAAAUACUGGAUUCUGGGUUCUCUUCAUUGUUGUCCCCCUGCAAGUGGAGAGGUAUCCAGGCUGGGCCUUGUCCUAAGAUAUGACGGAACUGAAUUCUUCUAGCAAGCAUGUGAGCUUGGAAGAGAACACCAUGCGCCACAUGAGAAUGCAUACUGGCCAACACCCUGUGCAAAGAUCCAGAGAAGCUGUGCUCAGACUCCUGACUCAUGAAAAUAGUGAAUUUAUAAAUGUAUAUUGCUUUAAGAUGCUAAAUUUGUGGUGAUGUGUUACAUGGCAAUAGAAAAUAGAGAUAAAACUUGACAUUUGAAGUGCAUCACAUAAUGAAAUUAGUAGAUGAGAAUCUCUCUAGAAACAAGUAAAAUUUUGAGUUAAAAUGAGAGACUGGACAUAUAAUUCCUCCUCCCUCCAAAAUCCCAAG
RNAcentral lists this long non-coding RNA (932 nucleotides) under Gorilla gorilla gorilla (western lowland gorilla). RNAcentral describes it as "lncRNA (ENSGGOG00000044334.1)". Lineage: Eukaryota; Metazoa; Chordata; Mammalia; Primates; Hominidae. The record is from RNAcentral.